Molecule: ribosomal RNA, 296 nt
Filed under: uncultured Entrophospora
Lineage: Eukaryota; Fungi; Glomeromycota; Glomeromycetes; Entrophosporales; Entrophosporaceae
Description: uncultured Claroideoglomus partial small subunit ribosomal RNA
Rfam family: Eukaryotic small subunit ribosomal RNA
Source: RNAcentral
AGCAGCCGCGGUAAUUCCAGCUCCAAUAGCGUAUAUUAAAGUUGUUGCAGUUAAAAAGCUCGUAGUUGAAUUUCGGGAUUGACACAUCGGUCGUGCCUUAAGGGGUAUGAACUGGUGUAGUCAGUUUCUCACCUUCUGGAGAACCGCGAUGUCCUUAAUUGGGUGCCGCGAGGAACCAGGACCUUUACUUUGAAAAAAUUAGAGUGUUUAAAGCAGGCAUUUUGCUUGAAUACAUUAGCAUGGAAUAAUAAAAUAGGACGGAUGGUUCUAUUUUGUUGGUUUCUAGGAUCACCGUA